AAGCACCAGGGCCAGGAACACAAGAGAGA
RNAcentral lists this non-coding RNA (29 nucleotides) under Rattus norvegicus (Norway rat). Lineage: Eukaryota; Metazoa; Chordata; Mammalia; Rodentia; Muridae. The record is from RNAcentral.